Long non-coding RNA from Pecten maximus, 2085 nucleotides. RefSeq lists it as uncharacterized. The transcript has 3 exons. The record is from RefSeq and is a predicted model, not a curated record. Lineage: Eukaryota; Metazoa; Mollusca; Bivalvia; Pectinida; Pectinidae.
GUGUCCAUAACAAUUUGUUAAAAUUUAAUGAAAAAAAUAAAAUAAAUUUGACUAACCUAGUAGUUAUUUCAUAUUAUUAUUUUUCGAUGUGUGUAAACAAAUACCUCUGCGUACCUUUGCGCAUGCGCGAUGCGGGAAAUUGGAAACAUCAUAACAAAAAUGGCGAACACCCGAUCUAAGUGGAAGGGUCCUGAAUCAGUUUUAACCGAGAGCACGAAGAAACGAAUAAUCGAGAACGUGAUUUUAACUUCACAAAGACGAACACGUAUCUUAGAGACAGAGCAAGCAGAUGGCAUCAGUUAAAAAAGACCGAAGGGAUUAAAACAGACCCUCCUUUGGCCAAGCUAAUGCCUUGAACAGUUUUGAAAGCAAGUCUGAGAUCUAGAGCGUACGUAGAUCUGGUCAUAAAGAAACUGAAGCCAAUGAAGAUGACCACAGGCGACAUGGAGUACAUGCAGCCACUACGGACGACACUAUUACUAGUCGCACUUACAUAUCACAGGAUUUAUAACACAAAAGUUCUUGGAGGACAAAAAGUGCCGUACAAGGUGGAAAGGACAUACCAACACAUCCAGGGACUCAUCAAUCUGAUAGUGGCCAACAGAAUAACAGAUAGAACUGGAAUAUCUAGCCAAAACCCUUGCAUCAAAUAGAUCCCAGAAGAUUCAAACUCCUAGCCCAUGCUCCUCCACCAUCUACUGCCCAAAUGGUAGAGGAGAAGAAAUCCCAAUUAAGAUGAAUGGGAAUAAUUGACAUUUUGAGACUAAUCACGUUCCAGAGACUAUUACUUUUGAAUAUCUGUCCUUACGUUUAGUAGCUGACCUGGUCCGAAGGACCAAGGUGAGUAUGCCAUACUGAGGCGUCCGGCAUUCGUCUGUCAACAUUGUGAACACAAUAUUUGAAUAACUUGAGUAAAUGUCAGAAUAUACCAAAUUUGAUAAAACUUUAUAAGCAGCCAUAUAUCGACAAGAUCUCAGACAACUUCAAAAAUAGAAAUUAUUGGACAGUAGUUUUUGACAGUAGUUUGCAGAGUUAUUGCCCUUUGUAAUGGUCUUAUUAUUAACAUUUUUUUAGUUCACUGGUCAGAAUGGAAACUCUUUUAGAAAUUCUACUAGUCCUGAACAAUUAAAUGGAUUUGAUGAAAUUUGGUCAGGAGAAUUAUGUGGCAAUGUUAUAUGUUGCAUAAAUGAAGCGUCACCAUCAUCUGAGUGGCACCUUUCGGGGCAAAAUAAGAGAAUUACCUGGUAUAGCAAAAAAAAAAAGGAUUUAACUCAUUUUUUUUUUCAAGAAUUACAUCUAGUCCACUUGUAGUUUGAACCAUUGUUGGGAGAGGUAGUUCAAAAGUAGAAAAAUGUUUGAAAUGUAACUUAAAUUUGAGUAUUAUGUCAUCAUUACUGAAUUAUCCAGGUUAGCGAUGCAGGCCCUUUGGGCCUUUAGUUUAUUGGUAUAAUGUUACUAUAAUAGCUUAGCUGUUAUCCAUUCCAUUAAUGUCAUAUGAUAAUCAGUGCAGCCUUAAUUUCAAAAUUUAUAUAAUCUCAAGAGACAAACAACAUUGUCUGGUCUGAAAUUUAAAUGCUUAGUCAAAAAUGAUUAUUCAUAGCUGUACAUGUGUGCACUAUUGAAAUAUUCAUGUUAACACUCACAAGUAAUUUAUAAACUCUCAAAAUUCAUUGAUGUCAACACCCACUAGUGCUCAAUAGUCUUUAAUGUCAACACACACUAGUACUCAAUAGUCAUGGAUGACAACACUCACUAGUAGUAGUACUCAAUAGUCAUUUAUGUCAACACUCACUAAUACUCAUGUCAUAUAUGUCAACACUCACUAAUACUCAAUAGUCAUGGAUGACAACACUCACUAGUACUCAUUAGUAACGUAUGUCAACACUCCAUAAUACUCAAGUCAUGUAUGUCAACACUCCAUAAUACUCAAUAGUCAUUGAUGUCAACACUCAAUUAUCACUGAUGCCAACAAUUGUCAUUGAUGUUAAGUCACUAGUCAUGGCAGUCAACUUUCUCUAGUCAUUGAUGCCAAUGCUUACAUCUGAGCAAGACAAUAAAUACAAUGUGGUAAAUUCUUUAUUUGCA